CGAGUUGGCCGGGCGGCCGCGGGACCGAAAGGUUUCGAGGAAAGUCCGGACUUCACAGAGCAGGGUGAUUGCUAACGGCAAUCCGAGGUGACUCGCGGGACAGUGCCACAGAAAACAGACCGCCACCGCAAGGUGGUAAGGGUGAAACGGUGCGGUAAGAGCGCACCAGCAUUCCGGGUGACCGGAGUGGCUAGGUAAACCCCACCCGAAGCAAGGCCAAGAAGGCCGCAACCUGGUUGCGGCUGCGCAGGUGCCCGAGGGCUGCUCGCCCGAGCCUGCGGGUAGGCCGCUCGAGGUACCCGGCGACGGUGUGCCCAGAUGGAUGGUCGCCGCCUCGCCGCCAGUCGUGGUGGCGAGGAACAGAAUCCGGCUUACAGGCCAGCUCGUCCG
Molecule: RNase P RNA, 390 nt
Filed under: Mycobacterium sp.
Lineage: Bacteria; Bacillati; Actinomycetota; Actinomycetes; Mycobacteriales; Mycobacteriaceae
Description: RNase P RNA component class A
Rfam family: Bacterial RNase P class A
About the family: Ribonuclease P (RNase P) is a ubiquitous endoribonuclease, found in archaea, bacteria and eukarya as well as chloroplasts and mitochondria. Its best characterised activity is the generation of mature 5'-ends of tRNAs by cleaving the 5'-leader elements of precursor-tRNAs.
Source: RNAcentral